RNAcentral lists this ribosomal RNA (405 nucleotides) under uncultured bacterium. RNAcentral describes it as "partial 16S ribosomal RNA". It matches the Rfam family "Bacterial small subunit ribosomal RNA", at positions 30 to 526 of the family's 1533-position model. The record is from RNAcentral.
AUUGAACGCUAGCGGGAUGCUUUACACCUGCAAGUCGCACGCGUGGCGGACGGGUGAGUAAUAUAUCGGAACGUGCCCAGUAGCGGGGGCUAACUACUCGAAAGCGUGGCUAAUACCGCCUCCUAUUGGCUCGGCCGAUACCGGAUUAGCUCGUUGGUGGGGUAAAGGCUCACCAAGUCAACGAUCCGUAGCUGGUGUGAGAGGACGACCAGCCACACUGGGACUGAGACACGGCCCAGACGCCUACGGGAGGCAGCAGUGGGGAAUUUUGGACAAUGGGGGAAACCCUGAUCCAGCCAUCCCGCGUGUAUGAGAAGGCCUUCGGGUUGUAAAGUACUUUGGGCAGAGAAGCGGUAUCUGCAGAAUAAGCACCGGCUAACUACGUGCCAGCAGCCGCGGUAAUAC